CCCUUAGAUGUUCUGGGCCGCACGCGUGCUACACUGGGUAAAUCAAUGGGUAAGGGAACACGAAAGUGCAACCUAAUCUUGAAAUUUGCUCGUGAUGGGGAUCGACGGUUGCAAUUUUCCGUCGUGAACGAGGAAUACCUUGUAGGCGCGUGUCAUCAUCACGCGCCGAAUACGUCCCUGCCCUUUGUACACACCGCCCGUCGCUCCUACCGAUUGAGUGAUCCGGUGAGGCUCUGGGACCUGGACGGAAAGAGCGUUUCGCUUGUUCUGUUUGGGAAACUUGGUCGAACCUUAUCAUUUAGAGGAAGGAGAAGUCGUAACA
RNAcentral lists this ribosomal RNA (322 nucleotides) under uncultured eukaryote. RNAcentral describes it as "partial 18S ribosomal RNA". It matches the Rfam family "Eukaryotic small subunit ribosomal RNA", at positions 1470 to 1796 of the family's 1831-position model. The record is from RNAcentral.